CGUGUAGGUGGCUGGAUAAGUCAGAUGUGAAAGCCCUGGGGCUUAACCCAGGAAGUGCAUUUGAAACUGUUCAGCUUGAGUAAGGGAGAGGAAAGUGGAAUUCCUGGUGUAGAGGUGAAAUUCGUAGAUAUCAGGAGGAACACCGGUGGCGAAGGCGACUUUCUGGCCCUAUACUGACGCUGAGACGCGAGAGCGUGGGUAGCAAACAG
RNAcentral lists this ribosomal RNA (209 nucleotides) under uncultured Smithella sp. RNAcentral's name for it is "partial 16S ribosomal RNA". It matches the Rfam family "Bacterial small subunit ribosomal RNA", at positions 568 to 775 of the family's 1533-position model. The record is from RNAcentral. Lineage: Bacteria; Pseudomonadati; Thermodesulfobacteriota; Syntrophia; Syntrophales; Smithellaceae.